RNAcentral lists this ribosomal RNA (570 nucleotides) under uncultured Alternaria. RNAcentral describes it as "eukaryotic LSU rRNA". The stretch from base 197 to 350 matches the Rfam family "5.8S ribosomal RNA". Lineage: Eukaryota; Fungi; Ascomycota; Dothideomycetes; Pleosporales; Pleosporaceae. The record is from RNAcentral.
UUCCGUAGGUGAACCUGCGGAGGGAUCAUUACACAAAUAUGAAGGCGGGCUGGAACCUCUCGGGGUUACAGCCUUGCUGAAUUAUUCACCCUUGUCUUUUGCGUACUUCUUGUUUCCUUGGUGGGUUCGCCCACCACUAGGACAAACAUAAACCUUUUGUAAUUGCAAUCAGCGUCAGUAACAAAUUAAUAAUUACAACUUUCAACAACGGAUCUCUUGGUUCUGGCAUCGAUGAAGAACGCAGCGAAAUGCGAUAAGUAGUGUGAAUUGCAGAAUUCAGUGAAUCAUCGAAUCUUUGAACGCACAUUGCGCCCUUUGGUAUUCCAAAGGGCAUGCCUGUUCGAGCGUCAUUUGUACCCUCAAGCUUUGCUUGGUGUUGGGCGUCUUGUCUCUAGCUUUGCUGGAGACUCGCCUUAAAGUAAUUGGCAGCCGGCCUACUGGUUUCGGAGCGCAGCACAAGUCGCACUCUCUAUCAGCAAAGGUCUAGCAUCCAUUAAGCCUUUUUUUCAACUUUUGACCUCGGAUCAGGUAGGGAUACCCGCUGAACUUAAGCUUUCAAUAAGCGGAGGA